RNAcentral lists this ribosomal RNA (380 nucleotides) under uncultured bacterium. RNAcentral describes it as "partial 16S ribosomal RNA". It matches the Rfam family "Bacterial small subunit ribosomal RNA", at positions 338 to 734 of the family's 1533-position model. The record is from RNAcentral.
CCUACGGGAGGCAGCAGUGGGGAAUAUUGCACAAUGGGGGGAACCCUGAUGCAGCGACGCCGCGUGAGUGACGAAGUAUUUCGGUACGUAAAGUUCUAUCAGCAGGGAAGAAGAAAGCCGGUCCCUGCCCAAGAAGCCCCGGCUAACAACGUGCAAGCAGCCGGGGUAAUACGUAGGGGGCAAGCGUUAUCCGGAUUUACUGGGUGUAAAGGGAGCGUAGACGGCAAGGCAAGUCUGGAGUGAAAGGCAGGGGCCCAACCCCUGGACUGCACUGGAACCUGUCGGGCUGGAGUGCAGGAGAGGUAAGUGGAAUUCCUAGUGUAGCGGUGAAAUGCGUAGAUAUUAGGAGGAACACCAGUGGCGAAGGCGGCUUACUGGAC